UUUACUUCUUGGUCUUUUUCAUUAAGAUCAAGUAUAGUACUUAUUAGUUUAACAUCUGAUGAAGACCUCUAUCUGAGGACAACCCAUUCAAUGGGUUUUUGGAGCAGGAAGAGAAAUGGAGUUUACCUGUUCACACUGUGCCUAGAUCCACUACUAAAGUACUUCUGGGAACAGUGCACCCCCU
Molecule: small nuclear RNA, 184 nt
Organism: Artibeus jamaicensis (Jamaican fruit-eating bat)
Lineage: Eukaryota; Metazoa; Chordata; Mammalia; Chiroptera; Phyllostomidae
Product: U2 spliceosomal RNA
Exons: 1
Source: RefSeq, a predicted model, not a curated record